UCUUUGAAUAACCGCUUACCC
RNAcentral lists this non-coding RNA (21 nucleotides) under Caenorhabditis elegans. The record is from RNAcentral. Lineage: Eukaryota; Metazoa; Nematoda; Chromadorea; Rhabditida; Rhabditidae.